AUUUCUUGGCGUGUGAAGGGAUUCCCUUGGUGAGACGAAGGGGUGGUUAAACAGUCUGCUUUUGGAACAUAAAUGGGGACAAUAACCAAGUCUCAGAAACCCAGAGUCAAAAAAUUUAAAGACCAUCCUAUUAAAAAAAAAAAAAAAGAAAUAAAAAACGUCAACAACCUGCAACGAAGUCACUGUACCCCAUAAAAUCCCAAUUAGGCAUUUAAACCUUUCUAUCGAAAUUCACUUUUGGACCAUUUUAUGAAGUUGUCAAAAUUUCAGAGGCAAACGUUUAAAUCAAGGUCAAAAACCAGGAGAAGAAAAUGUAUCAGUUUCCAAUCCAAACUCUCUCCGAGCCCCCUAAAAACUGAUUUAUAACGCUGUCAUCAGUAACUUCAAAAGAAGCGAACGUUGACGGGCCGGGGCUUGGGAGAGCAGGACCCAAGGUACCAAGCAGGCCGCCUGACGCGCCACCAGAGAAAGAUCAGGGAACUCUCCCCACCCCAGUCACUGAAAGUAGUGCUUAGAGAGCCCAUCCCAAGCCUCCACCAAAGAAAUUCCUCUAAGAGAUAGAAGAGACGGAGACGAAGAGGGGCGGGCAGAUCCUCUCCGCGGACAGUGAGCGGGAGGAACUGCACCCGAAGGUCCACAGGUUGGCUGUGAUUAAGAUGAUAAUCUGCACUGGCUGGGCUUGACUGGGCUCAGCUGGACUCCUGACUUCAGGUUGGCUACAGAAGCGAGGCCUGCAGUCUGCUAAUGAGCUCCAUGUCGCCAUCCUGUGACCAAGGCAGAAGGAUUAGCUGGGACAUGUUCUUUUCAUGGCAGAGGGGAGAAGGUUCAAAACGGUUGGUGGAAGGUCUUUUAAAGCCCCAGCUGGACAUGUCCAUCCACAGCCUACUGGUCAAAGCAAGGCAUGCCGCCAAGCCUAAAGUCAAUGAGCAGGAAUUUGAAUUCCAUUUACUUUUUCGGGAAGCACUGCAAGGUCACAUGGCAAAAGGUGUGGAAAUUAAACAAACAAAUUUUCAGGCAUGCUGAGCUGAGAGUAAUCCAAUCCACCGUACUAUGUCUGAACUUUGCUUGCCCUCGCUUGUUUCCUACUGCAUGCAGGCUCUGUUGGUAAGGGCCAGAGGGCUCGUAGUCGUCUCUGUUUUACUUUCUCCAAGUUUAGCAGCCCUGCUGGGCAAAGACCAUCUUUCCAGGUAACUUUAUUUAAGUAAAAAAAAAAACUCUAAGAAGGACUCCAACUGAGCUGACGAUGGUCUAUACUUUCACCGUACCAAUCGCCACAGCCAAGGAGGAUAAAGUCCUCUGAUGGGCCAGCCUAGGCCACAUUUCCGCGCCUGGUCAUCUGAGGCUGGGCAGGAGAUGGCGCUAGCUUUGCUAGCCUCACCGGGAUCACAUUACCUUGUAGAGAAUGCCUAAAGGAACCGAUGCUGGACAUAGGCACUACAGCCUCUAAUCAUCAUAAGAAACUAGAGGCCUGGGAAGCCAAGUAACAGCCCAGCCCAGUGAAGUCAAUGUGAGUGAAGCUGUCAGCGAAUGCCAGGCCCCGGGCACCUGAGCCAUAGCAGCGGGGCUUAGGCUGAAAUUUCUGAUGUGCUUCUGAUCCUCCUGUUGUGGACCUGGACAAGGACCCUGUGACGAUGUGGAGCUUGCUCGGUAUACGUCCAGCAUUAAAAGCUAGGAAAAGCAAUGGCGGGAGCAAUGAUGUCUGUGAAGCUGUAUCGAUAAAGUUUUAUUUAUUUAUUUUUAAUGUGAAAAAGUAAACGCAUCUGAAUCUCGGGGAAAAGCUACACCACUUCAGCUUCUGGAUUCAGUCAUUCCUGCUUGUUCAGAACCACAGGGUAAAAUGAGCACUGCAUUUACAAAGGUCUAAUCACAAGUGAGGGCACCAUCUCAACCUUUCACCGGGCGUCAAGGUGCAGCGGCCUCCGUAGACUUCUGACUCAGAACACCAGGCCAGACGCCAUCUGGGAGCACAUCUAGACUUUCUAUGAUAAAAAGGUAUAAUUUAGUUGAAGCAAUAAAGUUGGUGAGUAAAGCCUUUUCAAAUGAGCUGUAAGUGAGCAGAGGGGAGGACGCCCCAGGGGCAGUGUGGAGUUGCCCAGAGUGGAAGCGAGGCAGGCACUCGCUAAUGAGCGCCCAGGCAGGAGGAGGGAGGACGCAGGCUGAGAACCUUUGGCCUCCAAGCAAGGCUUCCAAGGAAAACCAAAGGGCCGAGCUCCCCUUUCCUCCCGGUUUAUUCUCUUUCCCUUGGGAGCCUGCCCUGCUCCCCACUCAAAUUCUCAGCCUGAGAAAGUAAUAGCACUCACCUCUUCAAAUUCUUCCAGAGAUUAGAGUGUGGCAGGAGGACAGCGCGCUUCUGGCCUGAGCUUUUGGAGGCCAUGUGACUCCAGAAUGAGUCCGCCUGGUUUUUGUGAAUGAGCCUAACUAAAAUGAGUCCUCUUAUUUUUUCACCAGAAAAAACAAGAUGUGUCGAGGGGCUCUUCCGGCUGUGAAAGGGCUGUAUCCCAGCAACAGCUCAUGAUGUUUCUGACAACUUACUAGCAUUUAUUUGAGAGUGAUUAAAAACAGCAUGUGUAAAGCA
Cebus imitator (Panamanian white-faced capuchin) is the source of this 2575-nucleotide long non-coding RNA. RefSeq lists it as uncharacterized. NCBI's taxonomy places the organism in Eukaryota, Metazoa, Chordata, Mammalia, Primates, Cebidae. The record is from RefSeq and is a predicted model, not a curated record. The transcript has 2 exons.